RNAcentral lists this long non-coding RNA (2376 nucleotides) under Homo sapiens (human). RNAcentral describes it as "non-protein coding LINC01184:35". The record is from RNAcentral. Lineage: Eukaryota; Metazoa; Chordata; Mammalia; Primates; Hominidae.
ACCCGCGGUCCCGCAGCGGCGCGCGGCUGACGCUCCCUCAGCGAUCCGGCCCUCCGCGGCUCCUGCGCGACCCCACGCAAAAGCGCCCCGUGCGAAGAGCGCGGCCAGCCAGUCCGCAAAGGGCCUCGGGCAGUGCGGGCAGCACGAACGGCGCGAUCGGGGAGCAGGCGCGGCUACGCUCCGCCUCAGUGAUGUCGCCGGGAGGAUCUCCGCGCGGCUACCUCCUCUUCCGCCGCCUUCCUCCCACGCCUUCACCUCCCUCCCCCGCCGCGCUCUGCGGCGAAAAGGAGCGGGCUCCCAGGCCACCUCCCCUCUCUCCACCCAGGGGCCGCGCGUCAGUGGACCUGCAGCCCAGGCAACGGGGCUGCGGACGGCGCGCGUGCCCUGCCUCGCCUCACGCCGGUAGCUGAUGCUCCCGCGGCAGCUGCCACCCCAGCGCCCCAGCCACGGCUUCAGAGGCUCUCGCACGCUGGCUUUUUUUUUUUCCCCCCGCUUUGGUGAACUCGCAGUACUUGGGCUGAGCCCGAAAUCUCGCGAGAUGCUGCAGGCGUCAGUGCGGCUUCCCACUAGGCGCGUGGUACCCGAGGCCGGGCCGGAGCCGCAGGCCAGCCGCGAUUCCUUCGGGCGAUGCUGGGGGCUUUCCGGUCGGGGCCGCAGCCGCUUCCGGAGCCGCGGGCGAGGUGCGUUCCCCAGCCUGGUUUGCUCUGGGCUCUGACCCGCCGCCGCGAAUCUCCGCUCGUAACUCCGGGCCUGAACCUGGAGGAGGGAGGAUUUCCUCUGUGCAGCUUUCGAGCGGUAGACUCACCCUGCCAGGCAGACCUAGAUUGGCAUAACCAGAGAUCAGUUCCAGUUGUGAUGCAGUGGGUGUCUACACACUUCUGAUGACACCUUUAUUUUAAAAGCUGAUGUUCCAAGUAGAGUCGGGGUUUCACCGUGUUAGCCAGGAUGGUCUCGAUCUCCUGACCUCGUGAUCCGCCCACCUCCGCCUCUCCAAGUGCUGGGAUUACAGGCAUGAGCCACCGCGCCCGGCCCUUGUAUUUUUAAACUUUGACUUUAUGGAGACGAACACCAUCGUUUGCUGAACACUUGAAACAUGAUGAAAGAGCCACAGAGUUGGCAGAACUGUUUGAAAAUGCUGUGCAAGCGGUCUUCUCUGUCUUCUUUAUGGCCAGUAAAAUUCUCCAGAAGAGAUUUAUGGCAGCCUCACUCCCAGUAGUUUCUGCAUUUAGUGAGAUAAGAUGGAAUCUUGCUCUCUUGCUCAGACUGGAGUGCAGUGGCAUGACCUUGGCUCACUGCAACCUCACCUCUCGGGUUCAAGCGAUUCUGCCUCAGCCUCUCGAGUAGCUGGGACUACAGGUGGGAGACCUCCACAGAACCCUUCCAGCAAGCUGUCUUCUAAAGCAAACAAGAAAAGGAAAGUCUGAGCAGUUUUGAUUAGAUUUCCCAGAAGUCAAAGCAAGGAAAAAUGAAAAAGCUUCAUUUCUCACGUUCUUAAAAGAGAGCACAGAUGUUGCAUCAUCUGGUUAGAUACCCUGAGAAUAAAAUCUGGAUCCAGUGAGAGGAAAGAUUCUGGGUGCUCAUGAAAAAAGAAACAAAACAAAACUUGGGAGCCUCUUGAGAGUGUACAGCAUCAGCCCUUGCCAACUCUUGUUUAUAUGCAUUUAACUUUCAGUUAACCAUGGGAAUAAUUCAUGAAAAUCCAAUCUACAAACAAAGGCCAUCCUAACGUUCAUGUUAUUCUUUUCCCUAAGAAUCUUUCACAAGAGCUAUAAUCAAGUAGAAUUAUGCUUUGAUUUGAAUUCUAAUUCAAUUGAAAAUAAAAAAUGAGGGCCGGACGCGGUGGCUCAUGCCUGUAAUCCCAGCGCUUUGGGAGGCUGAGGUGGACGGAUCACGAGGUCAGGAGAUCGAGACCAUCCUGGCUAACACGGUGAAACCCGAUCCCUACUAAAAAUACAAAAAAUUAGCCGGGCGUGGUGGCAGGCGCCUGUAGUCCCAGCUACUCGGGAGGCUGAGGCAGGAGAAUGGCGUGAACCCAGGAGGCAGAGGUUGCAGUGAGCCGAGAUCAUGCUACUGCACUCCAGCCUGGGCGACAGAGCGAGACUCUGUGUAUAAAUAAAUAAAUAAAUAAAUAAAUAACGAAAAGGUUGCCAUUGCCCUUUCUGGGGAAAGUGAUAAUGAGGAAAGACUAGUUUCUUAACCCAAGUCAGCUUUAGAGUCGGCAAGGAUGCAAUUUGAGGUGAUCCAGGAAAACUCUAUUAGCAUGGUAUAAGCCUGGUUUUGCAGUAUAUACAGCAAGCCAUAGGAAGUUUCAUUGGAAGCGUUGUGGAACUCAUUGAGAGUUGAAUGGAAGAAAGAACCUAUAGCAGAAAUUUCCAG